Molecule: ribosomal RNA, 261 nt
Filed under: uncultured archaeon
Lineage: Archaea
Description: partial 16S ribosomal RNA
Rfam family: Archaeal small subunit ribosomal RNA
Source: RNAcentral
UAGCCGUAAACGAUACUCGCUAGGUGUCGGCCACGGUGCGACCGUUGUCGGUGCCGUAGGGAAGCCGUGAAGCGAGCCACCUGGGAAGUACGGCCGCAAGGCUGAAGCUUAAAGGAAUUGGCGGGGGAGCACCACAACGGGUGGAGCUUGCGGUUUAAUUGGAUUCAACGCCGGAAAUCUUACCGGGACCGACAGCAACAUGAAGGCCAGGCUGAAGACUUUGCCGGAAUAGCUGAGAGGAGGUGCAUGGCGUAGUCGUGU